Molecule: long non-coding RNA, 40549 nt
Filed under: Triticum aestivum (bread wheat)
Lineage: Eukaryota; Viridiplantae; Streptophyta; Magnoliopsida; Poales; Poaceae
Description: long non-coding RNA (TAES_LNC000983)
Rfam family: MIR1120/MIR1122 microRNA precursor family (bases 35537-35671)
Source: RNAcentral
UUGACAAUUGUUUUAGCUGUGUGUGAUGCCCCCCUCCAUAGUUACACACCUCGGUCAUAUCGUCGUAGUUCUUAGGCGAAGCCCUGCGCCGGUAACUUCAUCAUCACCAUCACCACGCUGUCGUGUUGACGAAACUCUACCUCGGCCUCAACUGGAUCAAGAGUAUGAGGGAUGUCUCUGAGAUGAACGUGUGCCGAACAUGGAGGUGUCGUACAUUCGAUGCUUGGAUCGGUUGGGCCACGAAGACGUUCGACUACAUCAACUGCGUUAACUAAACGCUUCCGCUUUCGGUCUACGAGGAUACGUGGACACACUCUCCCCUCUCGUUGUUAUGCAUCACAUAGAUAGAUCUUGCGUGAUCGUAGGAAAUUUUUGAAAUUACCGCGUUCCCCAACACCAACAAGGAGAAGUAAUGGUGCAAGAUGGACACCAAGAGCAUGGCGAGGGAUUUUCCCAGCUCGGAGAUAGAGGUACAACCGCCCAUGUACCUCCCAACUACCUGUCGACCGGUACAACCGCCCAUGUACCGCCAACUACCGGUCCACCAAUAUAACCGCUGGCUCGACUACCGCCCAACUACCGGUCCAGCUUCUGUAUUUGAGCGGUGCAAGGCCGGUACCACCACGGUUUGUACCCAUAACAGCCAUAUGACCGGUACAACCGCUCCAACCACCGGUACAACCGCUAGUGACUUCCGGGAACACCUCUAGAGACCAGUACAAGAGCUCCAGGCGGUACAACCGCCCUGCCUGCACGCAGAGAAAGGAGUUUCACCCCAUGUAUCCCCCACUUACCCCUUGGACUAUAUAUACUUGUCCCCUAGCUCCGUAUUAGGGUUAGCAUUGUGAUAGCUCAUAUUUGAGAUAGAGCUUUUCUCAUCCACUUGGUUACUUCUCCAUCAGAGUUGAGCGCCUCUUCGGAGAAGAACCCCCAAGCGGAUUCAAGACCCCAUCACAGGAAGACCCUUCAAGACCUCCUCACGGAGAAGACCUUUUGUAUUGUCCUGUGUUGACCUUGAAUCGUGUAUCUCUUUGUGUUUCUAGGAUCUAGCACAUGUGUAAUCGGAUCUUGUUGGUUUGAGUGAUUCUCUCGUGUUUCCCCUCGUGAUUUCUCCUUGUGUUCUUCGUGUUCUUCGUAGGAUUCCCUCCAAUCGUGAAAGAUCGGGCCGCUAGGGUUCUACCCUACAUCAUCUUUGGUAUCAUGAGCCAUGUUGGUCAUGAUUUGGAGCCCCUAACCCUCUUUUUCUAGCCUAAUUUUGUUGUGUUCUUCCCGAAUUUUGAAAAUCCCCACCAAAAUAGCCCCAAUUUUUUUUGAUUUGUUGGUAUGAUGAAGUUUUGUUGAUUCUGAUCCAUGGAUUUGCUUGGUUUCGAGUGGAUCUAGCAUCUCUCCAAGUUUCCCCAUCUUUCAUCCACGAAAUCUCUCCAAUUUUUCCCUUGAAAUCAUUGAUUUCUGCCCCCAGUUCAUCCCGUAUCCAGAUCUACAAAUUUUUCCCGACAAAACGAUAAACCGUCCCCCAAGGCGGUACAACUGCUCCCCCAUCCCCUGAUACUUCUGCCAGCUAAAAACUAGAACCUGAGGAUGCUCCAGGAGCGGUACAACCGCCCUCCCAAGCGGUACAACCGCCCCUUCCAGGUCUAGCCUCGGCUAAUUGACAGUUUUGACCAUAACUAAUUCAUCCAGACUCAGAUUUUAACGUUAUUUAGCUCGUUGGAUAGCUAUUGACAUCCGCCUUCCAUAUAGAUAGGUUCCCACACCAUUUGACACCAUCAAAUUUUCCAAACUUUGGCAUCUUUUCCUCGGCAUUCCACCAUAACAUCCGUAUAACCACCUUAGCCUUCCGCAACCUAACCCAUUUUGUUCCCCAUAGCAUUAGUGGUUCCUUGAGUAGCGAUUCGAGUCUCCUAAGGUGUUUCGGCUACUUAGGGACGGUUGCUUCUUCAUCAACCACCACCACCAUUUCCACAUAGUCUUGUCCACCGUACAUUUCACCAACCCAACUUAAUCCAAUUGUUGUUUGAGCUUGUUUGACCUUGUUUGAGUUGUGGCUUGUGUCUCCUAAGGUGUUUCGGCUACUUAAGGAUGGAAACUUCAACUUCGACACGUGUAUAGCCCAUCACUCCACUUCCGCAUUGCCGAGCGCAAACCACCACCGCUUUUCGCUACCACCAUUUAACAUUUGAAAUUUGAGAUUUUGAGUUUGCAGUUUUUCCAUUUCCUAAGGUGUUUCGGCUAAUUAUGAAUGGUUCGACAUAGAGAACACCACCACUCAUGAUCGCCACGAGGUCGUCAUCGACAUUGACCACUUCACCAUUUUGACACCAUCAACCGUAAGCAAGGAACGGUAACCUCGACGACAUCAUUGUACAUUCCCCUUGCCAUUGCAUUGUUAACCCCUAGCCCAUUUUGCGUCACUUGCCUACCAAGACUAGCCAUUGAGUAUUGUCGGCAACGUUACUUGUGCACAUUAGUGAUCAUUGGUCUACACCUUCCAUUACAUACACACCAUAUCAUAUUGGUAUCAUCAUAUCAUCUCUUGUGCCAAAAGUUUGUUCCCGCAUAUAUACAAUUGCUAUCUUGGUUUGUGCAUUUCGCAUAGUGGCCAUAAAAAAGAAUAAACUUUUAAGCAAAAGAGAAAGAGCAAAGAGCUUGUAAGCAAUAACCAUAGCAUCCUACCACAUUGCACAUAAGAUUUUCAUAUCCGAUCAUCUUGGAUCAUCUUGAGAAGAACACCGGGAACCAUACAUACAUAGCAUACUUGGGAUAGAAGUUGCUACAUUUUGCAUCUUAUAGGUUGUGCACAAGUGUCGUAUCCGCCUAUAGAGAAAUUGUGCUAGCGUCUCUCUUGAGUUGUGCAACACGAGCGUUUUCCAUGGAUUCCACAUUUUGAACUCAUUCCUUGCUUGCACGACCCCAUUUAUCUAUCUGUGUGUGUGUGUUGGGGAACGUUGCAGAAAAUAAAAAAUUUCUAUGAUUCACCAAGAUCAAUCUAUGGAGUCAUCUAGCAACGAGAGAGAGGAGUGCAUCUACAUACCCUUGUAGAUCACAAGCGGAAGCAUUCAAGAGAACGGGGUUGAGGGAGUCGUACUCGUCGUGAUCCAAAUCACCGAUGAUCCUAGCGCCGAACGGACGGCACCUCCGCAUUCAACACACGUACGGUUGGGGAAGACGUCUCCUCCUUCUUGAUCCAGCAAGGGGAAAGGAGAGGUUGAUGGAGAUUCAGCAGCACGACGGCGUGGUGGUGCAAGUAGCGGCGAUCUCGGGCUUCGCCAAGCUCAGUGAGAGGGAGAGGUGUUACGGAGGGAGAGGGAGGCGCCAGGAGCUGGGGUGUGCAGCCCUCCCCCCCCCCCCCCCUCUUUAUAUAGGGGCCCUGGGGGGUGCCGACCCCUAGAGAUUGAAUCUCAAGGGAGGGGCGGCCAAGGGGGGGGACUUGCCCCCCAAGCCAAGUGGGGCGCCACCAUCCCUAGGGUUUCUAACCCUAGGCGCAGGGGAGGCCCAAGGGGGGCGCACCAGCCCACCAGNNNNNNNNNNNNNNNNNNNNNNNNNNNNNNNNNNNNNNNNNNNNNNNNNNNNNNNNNNNNNNNNNNNNNNNNNNNNNNNNNNNNNNNNNNNNNNNNNNNNNNNNNNNNNNNNNNNNNNNNNNNNNNNNNNNNNNNNNNNNNNNNNNNNNNNNNNNNNNNNNNNNNNNNNNNNNNNNNNNNNNNNNNNNNNNNNNNNNNNNNNNNNNNNNNNNNNNNNNNNNNNNNNNNNNNNNNNNNNNNNNNNNNNNNNNNNNNNNNNNNNNNNNNNNNNNNNNNNNNNNNNNNNNNNNNNNNNNNNNNNNNNNNNNNNNNNNNNNNNNNNNNNNNNNNNNNNNNNNNNNNNNNNNNNNNNNNNNNNNNNNNNNNNNNNNNNNNNNNNNNNNNNNNNNNNNNNNNNNNNNNNNNNNNNNNNNNNNNNNNNNNNNNNNNNNNNNNNNNNNNNNNNNNNNNNNNNNNNNNNNNNNNNNNNNNNNNNNNNNNNNNNNNNNNNNNNNNNNNNNNNNNNNNNNNNNNNCAGGAGCUGGGGUGUGCAGCCCUCCCUCCCCCCCCCCCUCUUUAUAUAGGGGCCCUGGGGGGUGCCGACCCCUAGAGAUUGAAUCUCAAGGGAGGGGCGGCCAAGGGGGGGGACUUGCCCCCCAAGCCAAGUGGGGCGCCACCAUCCCUAGGGUUUCUAACCCUAGGCGCAGGGGAGGCCCAAGGGGGGCGCACCAGCCCACCAGGGGCUGGUUCCCCUCCCACUUCAGCCCAUGUGGCCCUCCCGGAUAGGUGGCCCCACCUGGUGGACCCCCGGGACCCUUCCGGUGGUCCCGAUACAAUACCGGUGACCCCCGAACCUUUCCCGGUGGCCGAAACUGGACUUCCUAUAUAUAAAUCUUCACCUCCGAACCAUUCCAGAACUCCUCGUGACGUCCGGGAUCUCAUCUGGGACUCCAAAAAACUUUCAGGUUACCGCAUACUAAUAUCUCUACAACCCUAGCGUCACCGAACCUUAAGUGUGUAGACCCUACGGGUUCGGGAGACGCGUAGACAUGACCGAGACAGCUCUCCAGCCGAUAACCAACAGCAGGAUCUAGAUACCCAUGUUGGCUCCCGCAUGUUCCACGAUGAUCUCAUCGAAUGAACCAUGAUGUCGAGGAUUCAAGUAAUCCCGUAUACAAUUCCCUUUGUCAAUCGGUACGUUACUUGCCCGAGAUUCGAUCGUCGGUAUCCCAAUACCUCGUUCAAUCUCAUUAUCGUCAAGUCACCUUACUCGUACCAUAAUGCAUGAUCCCGUGACCAAACACUUGGUCACAUUGAGCUCAUUAUGAUGAGAUGCAUUACCGAGUGGGCCCAGAGAUACCUCUCCGUCAUACGGAGUGACAAAUCCCAGUCUCGAUCCGUGUCCACCCAACAGAUAUUUCGGGGUACCUGUAGUAUACCUUUAUAGUCACCCAGUUACGUUGUGACGUUUGGUACACCCAAAGCACUCCUAUGGCAUCCGGGAGUUACACGAUCUCAUGGUCUAAGGAAAUAAUACUUGACAUUGGAAAAGCUCUAGCAAACGAACUACACGAUCUUGUGCUAUGCUUAGGAUUGGGUCUUCUUGUCCAUCACAUCAUUCUCCUAAUGAUGUGAUCCCGUUACCAAUGACAUCCAAUGUCCAUAGUCAGGAAACCAUGACUAUCUAUUGAUCAACGAGCUAGUUAACUACAGGCUCACUAGGGACAUGUUAUGGUCUAUGUAUUCACACAUGUAUCAUGAUUUCCGGAUAACACAAUUAUAGAAUGAAUAAUAGACAAUUAUCGUGAACAAGGAAAUAUAAUAAUAAUCAUUUUAGUAUUGCCUCUAGGGAAUAUUUCCAACAGUCUCCCACUUGCACUAGAGUCAAAAAUCUAGUUACAUUGUGAUGAAUCAAACACCCAUAGAGUUCUGGUGUUGAUCAUGUUUUGCUCGCGGAAGAGGUUUAGUCAAUGGAUCUGCGACAUUCAGAUCCGUAUGCACUUUGCAAAUAUCUAUGUCUCCAUCUUGAACAUUUUCAUGAAUGGAGUUGAAGUGACGCUUGAUGUGUUUGGUCCUCUUGUGAAACCUAGGCUCCUUGGCAAGGGCAAUAGCUCCAGUGUUGUCACAGAAGAGAGUGAUCGGCCCCGAUGCAUUGGGUAUGACUCCUAGGUCGGUUAUGAACUCCUUCAUCCAGAUUGCUUCAUGCGCUGCCUCCGAGGCUGCCAUGUACUCCGCUUCACAUGUAGAUCCCUCCAUGGCGCUUUGCUUGCAACUGCACCAGCUUACUGCCCCUCCAUUCAAAAUAUACACGUAUCCGGUUUGUGACUUAGAGUCAUCCAGAUCUGUGUCGAAGCUAGCGUCGACGUAACCCUUUACAACGAGCUCUUCGUCACCUCCAUAAACGAGAAACAUAUCCUUAGUCCUUUUCAGGUACUUCAGGAUAUUCUUGACCGUUGUCUAGUGUUCCAUGCCGGGAUUACUUUGGUACCUUCCUACCAAACUUACGGCAAGGUUUAUAUCAGGUCUGGUACACAGCAUGGCAUACAUAAUAGACCCUAUAGCCGAGGCAUAGGGGAUGACACUCAUCUUUUCUCUAUCUUCUGCCGUGGUCGGGCAUUGAGCUGAGCUCAAUUUCACACCUUGCAACACAGGCAAGAACCCCUUCUUGGACUGAUCCAUAUUGAACUUCUUCAAUAUCUUAUCAAGGUAUGUACUUUGUGAAAGACCUAUGAGGCGUCUCGAUCUAUCCCUAUAGAUCUUGAUGCCUAAUAUGUAAGCAGCUUCUCCAAGGUCCUUCAUUGAAAAAUACUUAUUCAAGUAGGCCUUAAUGCUGUCCAAAAGUUCUAUAUCAUUUCCCAUCAAAAGUAUGUCAUCUACAUAUAAUAUGAGAAAUGCUACAGAGCUCCCACUCACUUUCUUGUAAACGCAGGCUUCUCCAUAAGUCUGCAUAAACCCAAACGCUUUGAUCAUCUCAUCAAAGCGAAUGUUCCAACUCCGAGAUGCUUGCACCAGCCCAUAAAUGGAUCGCUAGAGUUUGCAUACCUUGUUAGCAUUCUCAGGAUCGACAAAACCUUCCGGCUGCAUCAUAUACAGUUCUUCCUUAAGAUAGCCAUUAAGGAAUGCCGUUUUGACGUCCAUUUGCCAUAUCUCAUAAUCAUAGUAUGCGGCAAUUGCUAACAUGAUUUGGACGGACUUUAGCUUCGUUACGGGAGAGAAAGUCUCAUCGUAGUCAACCCCUUGAACUUGUCGAUAACCCUUAGCGACAAGUCGAGCUUUAUAGAUGGUAACAUUACAAUCCGCGUCAGUCUUCUUCUUAAAGAUCCAUUUGUUUUCUAUCGCUCGCCGAUCAUCGGGCAAGUCUGUCAAAGUCCACACUUUGUUUUCAUACAUGGAUCCUAUCUCGGAUUGCAUGGCUUUAAGCCAUUUGUUGGAAUUUGGGCCCGCCAUUCCUUCUUCAUAGUUUGAAGGUUCACUGUUGUCUAACAACAUGAUUCCUAGGACAGGGUUGCCAUACCACUCUGGUGUGGAACGUGUCCUCGUGGACCUACGAAGCUCAGUAGUAACUUGAUCUGAAGUACCUUGAUCAUCAUCAUUAAUUUCCUCUCUAGUCCGUGCAGGCACCACAGGAACAUCUUCCUGAGCUGCGCUACUUACCGGUUCAAGAGGUAGUACUUCAUCAAGUUCCACUUUCCUCCCACUUACUUCUUUCGAGAGAAACUCUUUCUCCAGAAAGGACGCAUUCUUGGCAACAAAGAUCUUGCCUUCGGAUCUGAGGUAGAAGGUAUACCCAAUGGUUUCCUCAGGGUAUCCUAUGAAGACGCAUUUUUCCGACUUGGGUUCAAGCUUUUCAGGUUGAAGUUUCUUGACAUAAGCAUCGCAUCCCCAAACUUUUAGAAACGACAGAUUAUGUUUCUUCCCAAACCAUAAUUCAUAGGUGUCAUCUCAACGGAUUUAGACGGUGCCCUAUUUAAAGUGAAUGUAGCUGUCUCUAGAGCGUAUCCCCAAAAUGAUAGUGGUAAAUCGGUGAGUGACAUCAUAGAUCGCACCAUAUCCAAUAGAGUGCGAUUACGACGCUUGGACACACUGUUACACUGAGGUGUUCCAGGCGGCGUGAACACUUCCACAUUUCCUUAAGUGUGUACCAAAUUCGUGACUUAAAUAUUCUCCUCCACGAUCUGAUCGUAAGAACUUUAUUUUUCGGUCACGUUGAUUCUCUACCUCAUUCUGAAAUUCCUUGAACUUUUCAAAGGUCUUAGACUUGUGUUUCAUCAAGUAGACAUACCCAUAUCUAAUUAAGUCAUCGGUGAGAGUGAGAACAUAAUGAUAGCCACCGCGAGCCUCAACGCUCAUUGGACUGCACACAUCAGUAUGUAUAAUUUCCAAUAAGUUGGUUGCUCGCUCCAUUGUUCCAGAGAACGGAGUCUUGGUCAUUUUACCCAUGAGGCAUGGUUCGCACGUGUCAAAUGAUUCGAAAUCAAGAGACUCCAAAAGUCCAUCUAUAUGGAGCUUCUUCAUGCGUUUGACACCAAUGUGACCAAGGCGGCAGUGCCACAGAUAUGUGGGACUAUCAUUAUCAAUCUUACAUAUUUUGGUAUUCACACUAUGAAUAUGUGUAACAUCACGUUCGAGAUUCAUUAAGAAUAAACCAUUGACCAGCGGGGCAUGACCAUAAAACAUAUCUCUCAUAUAAAUAGAACAACCAUUAUUCUCGGAUUUAAAUGAGUAGCCAUAUCAUAUUAAACGAGAUCCAGAUACAAUGUUCAUGCUCAAAGUUGGCACUAACUAACAAUUAUUGAGGUUUAAAAAUAAUCCCAUAGGUAAAUGUAGAGGUAGUGUGCCGACGACGAUCACAUCGACUUUGGAACCAUUCCCGACGCGCAUCGUCACCUCGUCCUUCGCCAGUCUCCGCUUAUUCCGCAACUCCUGUUUUGAGUUACAAAUAUGAGCAACCGCACCGGUAUCAAAUACCCAGGAGCUACUAUGAGUACUGGUAAGGUACACAUCAAUUACAUGUAUAUCACAUAUACUUUAGUGUUGCCGGCCUUCUUGUCCGCUAAGUAUUUGGGGCAGUUCCGCUUCCAGUGUCCGCUUCCCUUGCAAUAAAAGCACUCAGUCUCAGGUUUGGGUCCAUUCUUUGGCUUCUUCCCAGUAACUGGCUUACCGGGCGCGGAAACUCCCUUGCCGUCCUUCUUGAACUUCUUCUUACCCUUGCCUUUCUUGAAACUAGUGGUUUUAUUGACCAUCAACACUUGAUGUUCCUUUUUGAUUUCCACCUCCGCUGAUUUCAGCAUUGAAAAUACUUCAGGAAUAGUUUUCACCAUCCCCUGCAUAUUUUAGUUCAUCACAAAGCUCUUGUAGCUAGGUGGGAGCGACUGAAGGAUUCUGUCAAUGACCGCCUCGUCCGGGAGGUUAAUGUCCAGCUGGGACAAGCGGUUGUGCAACCCAGACAUUUUGAGUAUGUGCUCACUGGCAGAACUAUUUUCCUCCAUCUUACAACUAUAGAACUUGUCGGAGACUUCAUAUCUCUCGACCCGGGCAUGAGCUUGGAAAACCAUUUUCAGCUCUUCGAACAUCUCAUAUGCUCCGUGUUGCUCAAAACGCUUUUGGAGCCCCGGUUCUAAGCUGCAAAGCAUGCCGCACUGAACGAGGGAGUAAUCAUCAACUGCCAAGCGUUCAUAACGUCUUGGUUCUCUGGGAUGGGUGCUUCACCUCGCGGUGCUUCUAGGACAUAUGCUUUCUUGGCAGCUAUGAGGAUGAUCCUCAGGUUCCGGACCCAGUCCAUAUAGUUGCUGCCAUCAUCUUUCAGCUUGGUUUUCUCUAGAUACGCAUUGAAGUUGAGGUUGACAUGAGCAUGGGCCAUUUGAUCUACAAGACAUUUUGCAAAGGUUUUUAGACUAAGUUCAUGAUGAUUAAGUUCAUCUAAUCAAAUUAUUAAUGAACUCCCACUCAGAUUAGACAUCCCUCUAGUCAUCUAAGUGAUACAUGAUCCGACUCAACUAGACCGUGUCCGAUCAUCACGUGAGACGGACUAGUCAUCAUCGGUGAACAUCUCCAUGUUGAUCGUAUCUUCCAUACGACUCAUGUUCGACCUUUCGGUACUCGUCAAGUCAACCUAAGUGUUUUGCAUGUGUAAAUCUUUCUUACACCCGUUGUAUGUGGACGUUGGAAUCUAUCACACCCGAUCAUCACGUGGUGCUUCGAAACAACGAACUUUCGCAACAGCGCAUAGUUAGGGGGAACACUUUCUUGAAAUUAUUGUGAGGGAUCAUCUUAUUUACUACCGUCGUUCUAAGCAAAUAAGAUGCAAAAAACAUGAUAAACAUCACAUGCAAUCAAAUAGUGACAUGAUAUGGCCAAUAUCAUAUUGCUCCUUUGAUCUCCAUCUUCGGGGCACCAUGAUCAUCUUCAUCACCGGCAUGACACCAUGAUCUCCAUUAUCAUGAUCUCCAUCAUCGUGUCUCCAUGAAGUUGUUCGCCAACUAUUACUUCUACUACUAUGGCUAACGGUUUAGCAAUAAAGUAAAGUAAUUACAUGGCGUUUAUUCAUUGACACGCAGGUCAUACAAUAAUUAAGACAACUCCUAUGGCUCCUGCCGGUUGUCAUACUCAUCGACAUGCAAGUCGUGAUUCCUAUUACAAGAACAUGAUCAAUCUCAUACAUCACAUAUAUAUCAUUCAUCACAACCUUUUCAGGCCAUACACAUCACAAGGCAUAUGCUGCAAAAAAAAGUUAGACGUCCUCUAAUUGUUGUUGCAUGUUUUUACUUGGCUGCAAUAGGGUUCUAGCAAGAACGUUUCUUACCUACGUAAAACCACAACGUGAUAUGCCAAUUUCUAUUUACCCUUCAUAAGGACCCUUUUCAUCGAAUCUGAUCCGACUAAAGUGGGAGAGACAGUCACCCGCUAGCCACCUUAUGCAACUAGUGCAUGUCAGUCGGUGGAACCUGUCUCACGUAAGAGUACGUGUAAGGUCGGUCCGGGCCGCUUCAUCCCAUGAUGCCGCCGAAACAAGAUAAUACUAGUAGUGGCAAGAAAAUUGACAACAUCUAUGCCCACAACAGGAUUGUGUUCUACUCGUGCAUAGAAACUACGCAUAGACCUAGCUCAUGAUGCCACUGUUGGGGAACGUUGCAGAAAAUAAAAAAUUUCUACAAUUCACCAAGAUCAAUCUAUGGAGUCAUCUAGAAACGAGAGAGAGGAGAGCAUCUACAUACCCUUGUAGAUCACAAGCGGAAGCGUUCAAGAGAACGGGGUUGAGGGAGUCGUACUCGUCGUGAUCCAAAUCACCGAUAAUCCUAGCGCCGAACGGACGGCACCUCCGCGUUCAACACAUGUACAGUUGGGGAAGACGUCUCCUCCUUCUUGAUCCAGCAAGGGGAAAGGAGAGGUUGAUGGAGAUCCAGUAGCACGACGGCGUGGUGGUGGAAGUAGCGGCGAUCUCGGCAGGGCUUCGCCAAGCUCAACGAGAGGGAGAGGUGUUACGGAGGGAGAGGGAGGCGCCAGGAGCUGGGGUGCGCAGCCCUCCCUCCCCCCUAUUUAUAUAGGGGCCUUGGGGGGCACCGGCCCCUAGAGAUUGAAUCUCAAGGGGGGCAGCGGCCAAGGGGGGGGGACUUGCCCCCCAAGCCAAGUGAGGCGCCCCCACCCCUAGGGUUUCCAACCCUAGGCGCAGGAGAGGCCCAAGGGGGGCGCACCAGCCCACCAGGGGCUGGUUCCCCUCCCACUUCAGCCCAUGUGACCCUCCGGGAUAGGUGGCCCCACCCGAUGGACCCCCGGGACCCUUUCGGUGGUCCCCGUACAAUAUCGGUGACCCCCAAAACUUUCCCGGUGGCCGAAACUGGACUUCCUAUAUAUAGAUCUUCACCUCCGGACCAUUCCGGAACUCCUCGUGACAUCCGGGAUCUCAUCCGGGACUCCGAACAACUUUCGGGUUACCGCAUACUAAUAUCUCUACAACCCUAGCGUCACUGAACCUUAAGUGUGUAGACCCUACGGGUUCGGGAGACACGUAGACAUGACCGAGACAGCUCUUCGGCCAAUAACCAACAGCGGGAUCUGGAUACCCAUGUUGGCUCCCACAUGUUCCACGAUGAUCUCAUCAAAUGAACCACGAUGUCGAUUCAAGUAAUCCCGUAUACAAUUCCCUUUGUCAAUCGGUACGUUACUUGCCCGAGAUUCGAUCGUCGGUAUCCCAAUACCUCGUUCAAUCUCGUUAUCGGCAAGUCACUUUACUCGUACCAUAAUGCAUGAUCCCGUGACCAAACACUUGGUCACAUUGAGCUCAUUAUGAUGAUGCAUUACCGAGUGGGCCCAGAGAUACCUCUCCGUCAUACGGAGUGACAAAUCCCAGUCUCGAUCUGUGUCAACCCAACAGAUACUUUCGGGGAUACCUGUAGUAUACCUUUAUAGUCACCCAGUUACGUUGUGACGUUUGGUACACCCAAAGCACUCCUACGACAUCCAGGAGUUACACGAUCUCAUGGUCUAAGGAAAUAAUACUUGACAUUGGAAAAGCUCUAGCAAACAAACUACAUGAUCUUGUGCUAUGCUUAGGAUUGGGUCUUGUCCAUCACAUCAUUCUCCUAAUGAUGUGAUCCCGUUAUCAAUGACAUCCAAUGUCCAUAGUCAGGAAACCAUGACUAUCUGUUGAUCAACGAGCUAGUUAACUAGAGGCUCACUAGGGACAUGUUAUGGUCUAUGUAUUCACACAUGUAUCAUGAUUUCCGGAUAACACAAUUAUAGCAUGAAUAAUAGACAAUUAUCAUGAACAAGGAAAUAUAAUAAUAAUCAUUUUAUUAUUGCAUCUAGGCCAUAUUUCCAACAGUGUGUGUUUUCGUGUGCCAUUCUUUGCUAUUGGUCUACUUGUUUCUCUUGUGAAUUUGUGAAUCUCUUUCAACAUUAUUGACUCUUGCUAACAUUUUGCAUCAAAUUUUUGUGCCACUAUCCUCACCGAGCUCCACCAUAAGCUUUACUUAUGUAGGUGUGAGAAAUUGACGAGAUCGGUACCAAUUGUGCUAUUUCCUUGUUACAUCAUUGAGUGAUCAUUGAUCCAUUUUCAACAUCGGUCAAGGUACAUUUGGUAUAGUUCUCUCCUUUCUUCCACUCAUAUAUGCUCGAGUCUUGUGAUGGAUAGAAAAGGCAUUUCAUCUUCGGUCUUCCACAACAACGACGGCGCGAACAACUACAUCACCAAAUCGUAAAUCUACAACGACAAAUGCAAGGCGCACAAUCAAGAUUGUGAGAGCACAUUGAGAACCUCUCCAUUGACAUUCGUCACUCCGAAGCAAGAAAAAGGGACUGCAUCGACAACAAGCUUUCCGCACAAAAGGAGGAACAAGAUGCAAGGAUGGAGGAUAUUCGGGCCUUAAUCAAGUAUACUUCCCCUUCAUCAUCUUCAAGGUGGCGACGUUCAAGCCACAAGUCUUCGGAGUGCGAAAAUGAUGCAAGCGCAAUUCGUCCACAUCCACAUCUUUGUGAUGACCACUGUCACAAUCAUGAUCAACAUCGUCAUGAAGGGAAAGUCACCUCCAAGCAACAUGUGCACGACGACGACGAACGACAUCUACUACGAGCUCAAGCACGACAACGACAUCAUCAUCAUGAAGAUGCUCCAUAAGCGUAAAUGCACAAGUCCCAACAAGCUCUACUUCACACCAAGUUGAAGCUUCAUGAGCAAAAGAGAAGACCGCGAGACGAGCACCACCAAGAUGGAGCUACAACUACACCAACCACUUCGGCAUCUUUUCCAAGUGUUCUCAAGGCAUCUUUGCCUUUGGACGUACGGCAUCUUUGCCUACUUCCCAUGAGUUCACCUACAUCGACAUCUUCAACAACAAGGCGACCACCUACAAGCGAGGGCGACACUUCCAUCUUUGGAAGACCCUCAAGGAAGAUGGCCGAGCAUGGAAAUUUCCCUUCGGUCAUGGCGACGAGCUACGAGGUGCCACAUCAUAUGGGCCUCCAACACCAAGACGGUGACAAGAAGGUCGAGCAAGGGCCAUCCCCUUCUACCACGGCGAUGAGCACGACCCUCUUCAACGACAUGAAGACGGUGCCCAUAUUGGACUCAUACUCCGAGUCAAGCUACGCGACCGGACAUGGAGACAUUUGCACCUACAUCUCUCCGACACCCACAUAUGUCAAGAUACCCCAUUUUUCAUGUGAGGAGAGCCAACACCACAUGAGUGACAUGAGUGAAUCCACCAUAUGUGACAUUGCGAGCAUUUCCUAUGAGAGGAUGAGUGUGACCACCACUAGCCCCGCGCAUGAGAGCAUGCCACACAUCCUGUGUGAGGUUGAGAGCCAUUCAAGUGACUCCACCAACCAUAUGAGUGAGAGCAUCCAAGAGGGAAUGAGUGAGCCACAACACUUAGUGAGUGAGGUAGUUGACACGACACGUGAGGCCACUAUGAUUUCUAACGACUUACCCUCUACUCCAAGUGUGUUUUCCCUUUUGGUGCUAGGUCUCCUACAUGACGAGAUGCCUAUCCUCAACGAGUCUAUACCUCCAAUAUGGAGACGACGAUGGCCAUGGUGGACAAUGAUGCACCCCCCACAUGGUUCCAUCAAGAUGAAGAUGACAACGAGUGGAUCUUUGACACCUCACCUACAACACAUGAGCGACGCUCCAAAGGUAACAUGGGUGAUGGUGCUUCUCUUGUCCCACUAGCGGACUCUAUUGACAUCACUUGCUCCCAUGAUGUUGAUCACCCUAUGGAUUCAUCACAUGCUAUGUCUUGCUUUGAUAUGCCACCCAUUUAUGAUGUAUAUGAUGAUGAGCAUGUUGAAUUGCCUAGUUGUGAUGCUAUGCUCCAUAGGAUAUCAUGUGAAAAUUCUAUUGGUCACAUCAUGUUUGACAACCCCUUAAACUUGUCAUAUGCUAUGAGUGAGAUCUCCCAUAUUGCUUCAUUUCAAUCUCAACAUAGUAACUAUGCAUGACCCAUUAAAGUAAACCUCAUUUGCACUUAUGGCAUAGAUGACGAGAUGAUGGUCAUUGGUUUUUGUUUCUCUUGUGAUGAUAUUACCAUGCUUCCUUUACAUGAUUUGCACAAUUCAUCUACUAUGCCAUGCCAUGAUCACAUUGUUCCAUAUAUGCUUCGUUUUGGAUGUUGUCAAUAUUCUCCAUGUGAUGUUUCGACUAAUGCUCAUGAGGAGACCCCCAUAGUUUCCUCAUACUCCCUCCGUCCGAAAAUAAUUGUCAUCAAAAUGGAUAGAAAGUGAUGUAUCUAUAACUAAUAUACGUCUAGAUACAUUCCCUUCUAUUCAUUUUGAUGACAAGUAUUUCCGGACGGAGGGAGUACAUAUUAGGAGAUUCUGAUGCAUUUGAUACUUUGCAUGAUUCCCAUAAUUGCGUGCACCAUAUGCAUUCCAUGGAUAACAAUACUCUACAUAUUUCUCGUGAUGUGUUACACAAUUUGAGUCUCCAUUAUUCUAUACAUAACAACAAACCCAUCAAUAUGGAUGAAAUGUUCCUAUAUCACGCAUCUCAUUUAUUUGAGCAUUGGAUAUUUGGUGCUAACCAACACAAGCACGUGCGCAUCAUGAUGGAUGAUCUGUACAUAAACCUUGCACACACCAUUUUCCCUUUGCCUUUGUCUUGUGCAGGUAUGUACUCAUGUAUACUCGUCAACCUCUCAAUCCCAAGAGUUGGCGAAGCGAGCUCUUGAUAGCAACGAUGAUUUGGGAUCCCGUGGACUAUACUUACCACCGUUGUCUUCGCGCAAGGACUACGCGCACCUCUUCUUCUUGGCUCUCACACGUCUAUGGGCUAUAUACCACUUGUUACAUUAUGCCCAUUUUAUCGUGUUCACUUUGCAUGUUAUGCCUCUUUACAUGACUUUGCCAUGCAAUUGUGACCCUUACUUGCACUUACAUAUGAUUCACCAUUCUACUACUUAUAUGUGUAUUUGCAUGCUCGGUGGAGAUACUUGUUUCUAUUGCCAUGUUUACCAUGUGCCACAUGCUAUUGUUGAUGGUUGUGUUGGGAGAGUCAUGAUGUCCCAUUGCUAUUUACAUAUGGCCUCUCGCCAAUACAUUAAUGAUUUUUUGCUCAUAUCUUGCUUUCAUGCUUGUGAUAUGUCAUGUGCAUUAUUCAUGACCACUAUUUGCACACGUGCCAUGAUUACCAUGAUUCCUCCUAGUACGUUGCAUCUUCGCACUACUAGCUUGCUUGACUUGAUCACUAUGAUUGCUUGCUUUGUCGCAUCACCGAUGUUCCAUUCUUACUCGCUUUCUUGGGUUGAUGACAUAUAUGUUCAUGCCUCUCACUUGAUUUAUCUUGCUUAUUAUCACUUGUCUCCAUUAGUUGCACAUCUCAUAUGCCAUUGUAGUGAGUGCACCCAUGCUAUGCUUAUUGAUCUUGGAGACUUGGACAUAUUACUUGUGAUGCAUGCUUGCUUGAUUAAGCCUAUUGUCUUUGGUUGUAGUUGCAUCAUAUGCUUUCAUACCAUACCACACCUUGUCCUUUCUUAUGAUAAGAAUGAUGAAAACACUUGUUGGGUAUCUCACCACUUGAAUGAUAGGUUUUGCAUUUAUGCUAACCUCGUUUGUUUUUCCGAGUGUUUGUCAUGUUCUUUCAUUUUGAGGGAUUCACAAGGCGGUGCCGUCAUGCGACAACUUGGUCAUACAAAGGUCUACGUGAUGCGCGACACCAACAUUUUCGACAUCCUCAUAAAGGUGAACUCCUUCCCUUUGAGCCAUCCUCAAUUACGCAUAUUCGAUGGGUCAUUCUUUCAUUGUUGUCUCCUUCUUCUUGUCUACAUGAUACAUCUCGCGAACGGAGGACCGACAUUGGAGAUGGACCCAAUGGACCUUCAAGUUGAGGAUUGCUCAGACUUAGUGGAUUCACCACCGGACCACCACUUCUACCAUGACAUUGAGCUAUGGUACAACACCACCCAUAACAAAUUUGCAUCUUAUGCAUGGAUUGACUCACAUUACGAUUGCCUUGUUGCAUCUUCCAUUUCUAUGUCAUCCAUGAUAUAUGAGCUUAUGCACUUCCUAAGAAAAUUUGUUGUGAUCCUUCUUGAUGGCGUAUUCAUACAUCAUGAAAAUAUUGUCCAUCGUCAAUUGCAUGAUCACAUAGUCACAUUGAGCACCAAUUACCAUGUUCAUUCUUUUGGUACAUCGUUCCAUUAUGACAUCAUUUUGCACAAUGGUUGCAUUGAUCAUAUUCACAACACCCUUGUGUGCACAAUGAAUGCUUUUGCUCCCAUGAAUGCUUUGCAUAUCAUUCUAUAUCAUCUUACUAAGCUUCAUGCACUUUGUCACAAACAAUCUUGCCCAACGGACCCAUACUUACUUGAUGGGCACAUUGUGUGCGCUAACCAUUGUAUUUCCAAGUGUCGUUUGCGUUUGCUCUUUUUGCAUGUGUACCACUCCGGAGAUACCUUGGAGUACUUGGAUGGCGCCAUGUCUUCCACUUCGUGAAGUCCGUCCAUGACAACCAUUUCCAUGGUGAUGAGGUUUUCGAUCCGAGGUCGGAUCUUUCCCAAGGGAGGGGAGAUGAUGUGGAGCAUCCUUCGAUCAUCCCCAUGUACACUAUGACUAUUCCCCAAGCCCCAAGUGGACAUACGUUGAGACCUCAAACAUGUACCAUUGGACAUCAGGUGAACUCUCUCCUUGUUAAACUUCCCUUGGACCCACAUGAGACAUGGCUACUACCUCAAACAAAGACACUUUGUGUGCUUACGUACCAAGGAACCAACAAUGAGAAGGAAUGGUGCAAGAUGGACACCAAGAGCAUGGAGACGGAUUUUCCCAGCACAAAAGAUAGAGGUACAACCGCCCAUGUACCGCCCAACUAUCGGUCGACCGGUACAACCGCCCAUGUACCGCCCAACUACCGGUCCACCGAUACAACCGCUCGACUACCACCCAACUACCGGUUCAACUUCUGUAUUCGAGCGGUGCAAGGCCGGUACCGCCCCGGUUUGUACCCGUAACAGCCAUAUGACCGGUACAACUGCUCCAACCCCCGGUACAACCGCUAGUGACUUCCGGGAACACCUCCAGAGACCAGUACAAGAGCUUCGGGCGGUACAACCGCCCCCGUGUCUGGUACAACCGCCCUGCCUAUGCGCAGAGAAAGGGGUUUCGCCCCAUGUAUCCCCCACUUACCCCUUGGACUAUAUAUACUUGUCCCCUAGCUCCGUAUUAGGGUUAGCAUUGUGAUAGCUCAUAUUUGAGAUAGAGCUUUGCUCAUCCACUUGGUUACUUCUCCAUCGGAGUCGAGCGCCUCUUCGGAGAAGAUCCCCCAAGCGGAUUCAAGACCCCAUCGCGGGAAGACCCUUCAAGACCUCCUCACGGAGAAGACCUUUUGUAUCAUUCUUUGUUGACCUUGAAUCGUGUAUCUCUUUGUGUUUCGAGGAUCUAGCACAUGUGUAAUCGAAUCUUGUUGGUUUGAGUGAUUCUCUCAUGUUUCCCCUCGUGAUUUUUCCUCGUGUUCUUCGUAGGAUUCCCUCCCAUCGUGAAAGAUCGGGCCGCUAGGGUUCUACCCUACAUCACCAUCCUUGGCGUCACCUCCAACUUCCCUGCGACGAUGAAACUAGCGAAUUCUUCUGCACGUCAACGAUAUGGACCAUUAGCGACGACAAGACUUGCCGCUUCUAGUGUGAUCACUGGUUGCGCGGCCAGUCCAUCUCUGAGUUCGCCCCUCACCUGAUCAACCUCAUUAUGUGUCCUCGCACGCUCGAUUGUGACGGGCUUGCGAAUCGAAGAUGGAUCGGCGACAUCCAUGGUACUCUCGGUCACAAGACUACAAUCGAGUAUUUGGACCUCUGGCAGCGCAUUCGCCAUGUCGUGCUCACUUCUGCUCCUCACAAAAUCGUUUGGAAGUGGUCACAAAACGACCAGUACUCCCCCCGAUCGUGCUACAAGACACUCUUUCAUGGUUCGACCAUGAUGUUGGCCUGGCGUCUGGUAUGGUGUUCUUGGUCGCUCUUCAACAACAAAUUCUUCCUAUGGAUCGCGUUCCUCAACCGCUGCUGAACUGUUGACCACUUCACACGUCAUGGCCUCCCGCAUGACCCAGCCUGUGUCAUGUGCUCCCAGGAGUUCGAGCCCAUUUACUAUCUGAGUUGCGGGUGUGUGUUCUCACGGAUCACUUGGCACAGUUCUAUCUUGCUGUCAUCUCCCUUUAGCACCUCCGAACGACAUGACGAGUUUCUUCGAAUGGUGGUCUGUAACUACUUCAUCUCCUCCUGCCAGCAUACGCAAAGGCAUCAAUUCCAUCAUCGGCCUAACUAUGUGCCUCAUUUGGAAGCACCGCAAUGCUGCAGUCUUCGACGGCUACGUCCAUCGACCGAAGACCUCGUCAACAGGAUCAAGGGUGAAGCACCGGUUUGGGUUAGAGUGGGCGCUAAGGGCCUGGAUAUACCAUCUUUCAUGUAACCUGAGAUCAUGUUGUAUCGAUGCUGACAACCUCCCUCUUCUACUCCUGUUUGCACCCUCUUUGACGCCGGUUUGUGUACGUCCUAGAGGGUUGCACCAUGUACUUUUUUUCCAUGGACGAAAUGAAAUGAUACGCUCCAAAAAACUUCCAUACUGUAUGAUAUGAUUAAUAAGCAGUAAAAUCGAAAAAACAAAACAAGAUGUACAUAUACUUGCGUGUUCAUUUAACGGCUCAGCACACACGCCCUGUCCUGUGCGCACACCUCCCCGCCGGCUCACGCGCCGGAGUGUCCCGCAUCCGCCGCUGCCGCCGCUCGCCCUCCUCCUCCUCCUCCUCCUCUACCUAGUUGACGUCCGGCUUGCGCCUCCGCAGCUCCUCCUCUUCAUCACGCUGAUGUCCAGCAUCCACCUCCGCCACUGCUCCACUAUGCCCAUGCCCCGCGUCUGCCUCCGCCGCCGCCUCUCCUCCUCCUUCUCCUCCUCCUUCUCCAACUGCACCUCGCCGCCCUCACCACCCUGGUCUCCCCACGCAGCCUUUGCCGCGGCCACAGAGCGCGUACGAGCCGGGACGCUCAGCCCGCAAGACGCACACCACCUGUUCGACGUAUUGUUUCAGCAGGCCACUCGGGUCCCCGAGCGCUCCCUUGAUGGAUUCCUUGCCGCCCUCGGCGGUGCUGCGUCCUCUGAAGCCUGCAGAGACGGCCCCGCCCUCGCCCUCGCCCUUUUCAACCGUAUCUUCCGAGAAGAAGCCGGCAUGCGGGUGGCGCCGCCCACCAUCUUCACUUAUGGCAUCCUCAUGAACUGCUGCUGCCGCGUACGUCGUCCGGACCUAGGGCUUGCCUUCUUUGGGCGCAUCCUUAGGGCGGGCCUGAAGACAAACCAGAUCGCGGCCAACACGGUCAUCAAGUGCCUCUGCUGCGCAAAACAUACUGACGAGGCUGUCAAUAUGCUGCUUCAUAGGAUGUCCGACCUAGGCUGUGUGCCUGAUGACUUCUCAUACAACACAGUUCUGAAGAGCUUGUGUGAAGACGGCAGGAGCUUGCAGGCGCUUGACCUACUGCUCCAGAUGGUGUCCAAGGAAGGAGGUGCCUGCUCCCCUGACACGGUGGCAUAUAGCACGGUCAUCCACGGCUUCUUGAAGGAAGGCAAAGUAGACAAGGCAUGCAAUCUAUUCAAUGAAAUGAUGCGGCAAGGGGUUGUGCCUGAUGUGGUGACCUAUGUUUUUAAGGCGGUAAGGCGAGGCGAGGCGCUGGGGGGGCGCCUCACUGCCUAAGCGCUGAGGCAUAAGGCGAGGCGACGCCUUAGAGACUUAUAAGCAACAGAAUUAAGUAGAAUUUGGUAGGCAUUAAGCAACUAGGCAUACAGCCAUACACACCUUGCAACUGAUUGUUGUAGAGCCCCCAUCCUCUUUGCACUUGCUUUUCUCCCCAACAACAUUCUGCAUCAACAUGACGUCAUGAACAAAUAUGUUAGAAUAAUGUAUCACUUACCAGUGCACAUUCCACAAAAAAUAGAAAUAAAAGUGAGGCAGCAAACAAAAGUGGAAAGAAAGAUAGCAAGUAUGAGUGCAACUGCAAUCUGCAAUGGUCCACAUAAGACAAACAGAAUAAUAGAUAAUUCCACAUAAGACAAACAGAAUAAUAGAUAAUUCCAGCAUAGCAAAAGGGAUAAAGGUGGCCAGCUCAGCUCUCUCAUGUCUCUCCACUCUCAAAGUCUCAAUCAAAAGUCAUCAUCAUCAAACUCAUUGGCAUUGGUGUUGUCUUCACCAUCUUGGUCAACAUUAGUUGGCUCUUGAUCGUCAUUGCUCACAUCAUCAUCAUCCUCAACGUAGUCUGAAUCCUCCCCCUCCGCAUUGGGCAUACUUGAGUGUUGCUCUUGCUCCAAGUCCUCCUCUACCUCAUCUUCUUCAGGAAUUAUAGGUCGUGUUGUAGUAGGUCUCUUGCGUGCGUAGUGCAGACGGACAUUUGUCUGGCCCCUACGAAGUGUAGUUGCUGUCCUAUGCAGAUUGCGGCCUCGAAGGUUUGAAGAUGCACCAAUAGCCACAUCAACAUCCUCCCAUGUAAUGUCUUGAUUGUCUUCAGGACAACCUCGAGCACCUUGAGGUUGUGAUAGUGAUGGGUCCACCCACUCAUUGCCCCAAUCAAAAUCCUCAAUGACCAAAGCCUCAAAGCUAUUCUCGCCCAUCUUCUCACGCCUCUUUUGAAACCGUUGCAUAUUCUUCCGGUUGUAUGAAACAAAGACAAGAUCAUUCAACCUUUUCCAUUGUAAUCUGUUCCUUUUCUUUGUAUGGAUCUACAAAGUAGAAACAACAAGUGAAAUAAGUAAAUAACUUGCUGAAAUCAUCAUUGAACAAACACAAAUACUGCUUUACUAGUUGACUUACAAAUUCAAACGUGCUCCAAUUCCUCUCACAACCAGAUGAUGAAGCACAAAGACUAACAAUGCGCUUUGCAAACCUUUGUAGGUCAAUGGCCUGACCACCAAAUGAACUCCACCAAUCAACUAAAAUGAUAAAAACUGACACAUAUUAAGAGUUUGUACAGAAAUUACAUUGCUGGAACUGGAAUUAACAUGCUGAAAUUAACAUGAUGCAUUUAAUAUGACUUACGAGGGUUUCUUGUGCUCAUGGUCUCGAGUGCCAAUGGAUUAGAAAAGCUUUCUCGCUGUUGCUCAUAGAGCACAGAUUGUUGAUCAAUCUUUUUUCGAACAUUGGCAUCCGGUACCAUUUUUGCAAGCACAUCAUUAAAGCAGCUCCUAAGCUCCCCAACUAAGGCAUCAUCAUUUCUGCUUACAAUAGGAAAGAACUUUCCUGGGUUCAAAAAUAGAGCAGCCCCAUACAAUGGAUGAUCCAUUUGAUUCUCCCAACGCUUAUCAACAAUGGCCAAGAUCUUCUUGAGCAAUGGUUGCUUGUUUUGUUGAGGGAAACCUAGAUUGAUCCUCUCCUUUGCAUAAAUCAUAAGUGCUUUAAUCUCUGGCAUGGCAGGCUUCUCAUCACCAUCUGCUACUCUAAGAACUCUAAGAAGUGGAGUUGAAGCUCUAAGGCAGUCCUCAAUUGCGCUCCACCACUCCGUUGAAAGUAUAAUCUCUUGCACAUUCAAGCCAACUUGUGUUUUUGCUAACUUGUUUCCAACCCAUUCUUCAGAUGUAAAUAAACUCCUCAAUGCAGCCUUGUUCUUGACCAAACUCCUAAGUGUGAGGAUGGCUGUGGCAAAACGAGUGGCUGCUGGUCUCACAAGAUCCCCACCCGUGGCCUUCCUCAUUAGACUAAGAAGUCUUCCAUGUCUAUAGAUGAAAGUUGUGACACGUCUAGCCCCUGCAAUAGGCUUCUUAAAUGCCUUCAACUUUCCUAUAUCUUCCAACAUUAGGUCCAAGCAAUGACAUGCACACGGGCUCCAAUAUAGAGUAGGCAUCCUCUCCAUUAGAAGGUGGCCAGAUUUCUUGUAAUUAGCACCAUUAUCGGUGAUAACUUGUACCACAUUCUCUUUUCCAACAUCCAGAAUUCUCUUCUCAAGCAAAUCAGCUAUCAUAUCACCAUCAUGACAUACACUUGAGGCAUCAACCGACUCCAAGAAGAAAGUGCCCUCUGGACUAUUAACAAGGAAGUUAAUCAAAUGGCGUCCUCUUUUAUCCGACCAGCCAUCCGACAUGAGUGUGCAUCCAUAUUUUUUCCAUGCUGCCUCGUGUUGCCUCCUCAAAAGUCCUGUUUCCUUCACACAAUCAUUAAGCAAUUUCUCUCUCAGCUCAUGUGCACUAGGAGGCUUGUAACCUGACCCAUAUUGACAAGAGGCUUCAAUUGCAACCUCAAACUUCCUACUACUUGCAGCGUUGAAUGGAAUGCCACACUCGUAAAAGAACAAUGCCCACUGCAUAUUGACAUACUGCCUCUCUUCUGGAGUCUUUGUGCUGGACUCCAUGGUGCUUUGAGAACACCCAGAGCGUCUUUCAUCUACAAGAUCCUCGGGUGUUCUUCGUAGCAUGGCAACAAUUGGCUUGGAACUAUUGGCGGCAGACACAACAGAAACAGACUUCUUUUUACCUUGCAUGUUGGUGAUAAACGCUUUUUUAUUCUGUUUGGCUGCUGUCCCUGAGCUUGGCCUUUUAGAGGCGAUGUUUGCUCCAACUGAACUCACCUCCACAACCUCCUGAACAUCAUCUACAUCUACUACUCCCUUGAUCCUCCUAUUUUGCUCCAAAUAUGUUCCCAUUUCUCUCCUCAAUUGUGUGGUGGCCUUAGGACAACCAAUUGCAUCUCCCCCGACGCCCGCAAGAUGCUCUUUAUGCCUCUUGAUCCCUCCAGAAGUUAUCUGGCCACAAAGAGCGCACACAACAAGAUCCCGAUUUGGAGGCUCAGACCAAUAUCCAUAGUUCCAUCCCGGAUCAUUUGACCGUUGUGGCUUCCUUGUUGGAUCUUUCAUUGGAUCGUAGGUGGGCUCACCCCCAUCAGCUGCUGCAUUUCCAUCCAUGGUGCUACACUUCUACUACCUGCAGCAAACAACCAAACACAAAGGAAUAUUAGCAUAACUGAUAAAAGGGCUGCCAUGGCAUAUGAAAAGGUUGUUGUGGCAGCAACUAAACUACUCUACUCAUGCAGAUGUAGCAAACAGCGACAAUCAACUAGCCAUUAAACUAAUCAGCAUUCAACUAGUCAUUAAACUAAUCCAUUGUUGAGCACAACACAUCAUGCAUCAGUAUUCAACUAGCCUUUAUUCUAAUCCACCCAACAGGCCAACAGCAUGCAUUAUUUUAUUCAACCAAGGAGCAUCCACUAAGGCACUAACCCCACUAUCAUUAAACUGAUCACUAACAUAUGCCUGGCCACUAAGGCACUAACCACUAUAAGAGACAAGUGAGCAACCACCAACCAGCUAGCACAAAACAGUCCAGCAAAGAAGAAAGAGAGCAGAGGAGGGUGUGGGAGAAGGGAGAGGGAGGUAUACCUUACUGUUGCUCUUGCUUGUUGUUGUUGUACUGCAGAGGAGGAGCUGCUGGACAGGAGGAUGAGGAGGAGCUGCUAGACAGGAGGAAGAGGAGGAGCUGCUGGAGAGGAGGAACCGUUGGAGAGGAGGGGGAGGAGCUGCUGGAGAGGAGGAGGAACCAGAUUUGCUGGAGAGGAGCCACUGAAGAGAAGGAGGGGGAGGAGUGUGUGGAUUGGGGGCUGUUUCUCUCUCUCUCUUUCUCCCCUCUUACCUGUUGGCGCCAACAUGAUUCCAGUUUCCCGCCAAAACUCUGUUUCCCGCCUAAAACAGCUCCCCUGCCUGCCUGGCAAGCUAAGGCGUCCAAAAUGGACUAAGGCAACGCCUCGGACGCCUAGGCAGACGCCUCGGACGCCUUAUAGCUUAAGGCGGACGCCUUAGACACCCACCUAAGGCGAGGUGGACGCCUUGCCCUCGCAGGGCGCCCUGACGCCUAAGCGUCGCCUAGGCGACGCCUUAGGGACGCCUUGAAAACAGAGGUGGUGACGUAUAGCUCGAUUAUCGAUGCAUUGUGCAAAGCCGGAGCAAUGCACAAGGCAGAGUUGUUCCUUCGGCAGAUGGUUCAUAACGGUGUUCGACCGGAUGAGGUGACAUAUACUAGCAUGAUCCAUGGAUAUUCCACUUUGGGCCGGCUGAAAGAGGUGCGUAAAAUUUUCAGAGAAAUGACAAGCCGUGGUCUUAUACCAGAUAUUGUCACUUGGAACUCGUUCAUGGACUCCCUUUGCAAGCAUGGAAGAACCAAAGAAGCUGCAAAGGUUUUCUUUUCCAUGGCUGCAAAGGGCAACAAGCCUAAUAUUGUCUCCUACACUAUUCUUCUUCAUGGGUAUGCCAAUGAAGGAAGCUUUGCUGAUAUGAUGAGUCUCUUCAAUUCAAUGAAAGGCGGUGGCAUUGUAGCCAACUGCAAAGUUUUCAACAUAUUAAUUGGUGCAUAUGCUAAACGAGGGCUGAUAGAUGAAGCUAUGCUCAUACUUACUGAAAUGCGGGGACAAGGACUGAGUCCGGAUGUAGUCACCUAUUCAACUCUAAUAUCUGCACUUUGGAGAAUGGGUAAGCUGACUGAUGCUAUGGAUAGGUUCAGUCAGAUGGUUGUUGGUACGGGAGUACAGCCGGACACAGUUGUUUAUCACUCCCUAGUUCAGUUCUUAUGUACACAUGGUGAUUUGGUGAAAGCGAAGGAGUUGAUUUCUGAAAUGAUGAAUAAAGGUAUUGCUCGUCCAAACACUGCACUCUUCAGUUCAAUAAUGGACAGUCUACGCAAUGAAGGAAGGGUUAUAGAUGCACACCAUAUCUUUGACUUGGUUAUAGACAUAGGUGAGAAACCUGAUAGCAGUAUGUUUAGUACGCUGAUUGACGGAUAUUGCUUAGUCGGUGAGAUGGACAAAGCAUGUGGAGUACUUGAUGCCAUGGUAUCAGCUGGCAUUGAGCCUAAUGUCAUUACGUAUAGCACACUUGUCAGUAGAUAUUGUAAACGUGGAAGGAUCGCUAAUGGGUUGAUUCUGUUCAGACAAAUGUUGCAUAAGAAAGUUAAACCUACAACUGUUACAUAUGAAACCAUACUGAAUGGAUUAUUUCGUGCUGGGAGAACUGCUGAUGCGAAGAAAAUCUUCGAUGAGAUGAUCGAAAGUGGAAUAAUGGUGAGCAUUUCUACAUAUAAUAUAAUUCUUGGAGGACUUUGUAGAAAUAAUUGCGCAGAUGAAGCGAUUGUCCUAUUCCAGAACGUGCAAUGAAUAUGAAGUUCAAUAUCACAACACUCAAUACCAUCAUUAAUGCAUUGUACAAGGUUGAAAGAAGAGAAGAAGCUAAUGAUUUGUUUGCUGCAUUACCAGCCAGCGGGUUGGUGCCUAAUGCUUCCACUUACGGAGUAAUGGUACAAAAUCUUCUAAAAGAAGGAGCAGUGGAGGAAGCUGACAGUAUGUUCUCAUCAAUGGAGAAGAGUGGCUGUGCUCCUAGCUCUCGUCUUAUAAAUGAUGUCAUCAGAACUUUAUUGGAAAAGGGGGAGAUAGUCAAGGCCGGAAAAUAUAUGUCUAAAGUUGAUGGGAAGAGCAUCUCACUUGAAGCUUCAACUAGUUCGUUGUUGUUGUCUCUCUUUUCAGGGAAUGGGAAAUAUCGGAAACAACUACAAUUGCUCCCUGCAAAGUACCAAUUUUUUAAAGGAAUCAGUUGAUGCGCUGGACUUGGCAGAUAAGCCUUGUCAUGGUUCAGAUCUCCCUCUCAACGAUGUAGACAAGUCUCUUCUGUGUGCUUGCCAAUAUUGAGCUGGGUGACGGUGCCACCGUGGUGUUCUUGUCGGUGCUUAGCUGUUGGGUGUGCAUCCUAUGGCCAUUGUUCCUGAUCUGCAGGCCACCUCCACAAUGGCGGUCUGGUGCAUGACGCAUUUGCUAAUGGUGAAAAGAUUACUAAUAUUUGGGAGCAUAUGCACAUCACGGCGGAUUUCAUCCCUGAGUUAAUCGAGCUGAAUUAACAGUGUUUGCAGUUUUGGACAUGUAUGACCAUUGACAGCUCAAUGCUGUCUCUUUCUAAACUACAGUAACAAAUUACCACAGGACCUCAAAGCUAUCUUAUAAAAAAUUAAAAUUAUCAUUUUAUCAGUUGAUUUUCUAUUGUUAAACAAUAUGUGUGUGACUUAUUCGAACAUGGCAUGAAUGCCUAAUCUUGGGUUCAGUUCCUUUUGUUUUUUAAGCUUGAAUUACUAAAUAUCUCAAUCCGAAAGUUCAUGGGUGCAACGCAUUGGAAUUUGUUCUAUCAUACUAAAACAUCUGUUUGCAAGUGCUUCAUGUUACUUUGCAUUUCCAGGGAUGUAUCUCACCACAAUCUUUCAGGGUCAGUACCUGAUUUUCUGAGUCCAAUACCAUCACGUACAUCUAUGUAUGUGACAAUCCUGACCUGACUUCGUUUUUCCAAACUGUGCAGCACGGAACCUUUAAAUCCUUUUAAUUUCUUCAUCUGUCAAGUUGAUUCGUCAAGAAAACAUCAGUUGAUGAAUCAGGACUGGUUGCUGAAACUAAGGUUUGCACCCUUUUUUACAACAUCAUGGAUGCUUUGAUGGAGGCAAUGGAUAGCAUUAAAUGACUAGUUUUGGGGGGAAUUUGUCGUAUUCGUACGGUGUGCCAACCGACAUAGGUUGCACCUGAUUAUAUCUUUAAGGUCUUACUAAAUUGUAUCAUGCAAUCUCAAUUUUUGUUUAGGAAUAAUUGCCAAAUUCGGUCCUGCUUACCUACUGCAAGAUUUUUAUGUUUGCUGACUUAACAUGUUUUUAGCUUAUAUGUGAUAAUUGUACCUGGCCAUCUCUUUAUGAACAGAUCCAUCUCUUUAUUACCAGAUUAUUCAGAAACAAUGGGAGUACAUCUUAAAUCAUAAGAAUAAGACAUUGCAAAAAUACAAGGUAGCGGCUUCAUGAAAUUUCAUAUUUGCUCCCGAGCUCAAAUUCUGUUUCCAUCAUUCAUUCGUUGCAUUUGACAAAGUGAUUGCCCAUUCCGGAGCCCAGGCUGCAUUCACGCACCAUUGAGCGCACUUUAGAAGACAAUCAAACAAGUACAGUGCGUUUUUCUGAGAGUAUCUGUUAUGACCGGUUUGGUCUAUAAUCGGAAGAGGCCCACCGGGCAUUAAUAUUAGGGGCUUGACCCACAAGUUAUCUUAGGCAAGUUAUUUUAGGCAAGUUAUCUUAGGCUAAAGUUAUAAAUACUAGUUGUAAGACAUCGUUUGAGAUCAAGCAAUAAAGAUAUUAUCAUCUUCGGUUGCCCGGCUCCCUGAGGAGCCGGAACCCUAGCCGCCACCAGCCAACCGCCGCCGCACCUAAACCCUAGCCGCAACGGCGCCCACUCGCCGGCGCGCCCGCUCCAGCCCUCGUCCACCUCCUCCUUGUCCCUAUAACCUGUGUAGCCGCACUGGUAGGAACCCUAGUCCUACCAAUUUGGUAUCAGGUACCCGGGUUUCGACCAUGUCUUCGCCACCUCCAAUUCCGCCACCGCCGCCACCACCGCCGCUGCCCGUCAACUCCACCACCGCCGCUGCCGCCAACUCCUCCACCCCCGCCGCUUCCGCGCCGGGCGUCAUGGCCUCUCUCUCGGCGGGCGCCACGGCGUCGCUCUCGGCGCCCGGCACCGCGCCGGGCCACGGGCGGCCACCGGCCCCCAUCCAACAUACGCCGCCGCCGUCACCUCCCCUGCAGCCGCAGCAGUUCACACAGGAGGCAAUGGUCGGCAUCCUCAACGACCUCGUCGCCGCGGUCCAGGGCAUCCGCCUCUACCUGGCAGGUCCGUACGGGCCGCCUCCACCACUCCAUCCAGCCAUCGCCGCGACUCCGCAGGCGCUGUCGUGGUACUCGGUACCGGGGGCCAUCACCGGAGACUACCCGACGCUCCCCAUCCCGGCGGCUGCACCGCCGCCUUGGCCACAGUGGCCACCGCCGCUCGCGACGGCAACUGCGCCACUCGCCGCCACCACGGGGCCGCAGUGGCCCACCUGGACCGCGCCGUCUCUCACCGCGCCGUCCCUUCCAGCGGCCACAGAGCAGGGUCCUCCACCGCCCCAUCCCAGCCCUAACCUGGGUCGGUCGUCGCCGAGCGGGCUUCCAAUCCAGGAGGUCCGCUUUCCGUCAUCGCCAUCGCCAAUCCCCAACUGGCUUCACGGGCCGCCAUCGACCUACCCGAGGGCCCGCCCGCCGUCCGGUUUCCCAUUGCAGCCCGAGGCGUCGGGCGCCACCAGGAACUACGCCGGGCCUUCCACCAUGGACCGCGCACCAUCAUCCGCCCUACGCACCGCCGAGGCAGUGGGCCAGGGCGCGCCACACCAGCAGCCGCCCCGGUUCGCCAAGAUCGAUCUCGCCACAUCCGACGACCCGCUUAACUGGCUCAACCAGUGUGACCAGUUCUUCUGCGGUCAGCGCACACCCGCGUCGGAGCGUACUUGGCUGGCUUCCUACCAUCUCCGCGGGGCCGCCCAGACAUGGUACUACGCCCUCGAGCAGGACGAGGGCGGCAUGCCCCCGUGGGAUCGUUUCUGAUAGAUGUGCCUUCUUCGUUUCGGGCCACCGGUCCGCGGGAGCUGCUUGGCCGAGUUGGGCCGCCUGCCAUUCACCUCCACGGUGCAGGACUUCGCCGACCGCUUCCAGGCCCUGGCGUGCCACGCGCCCGGUGUGACGGCCUUACAGCGGGCGAAGCUUUUCAUCGGCGGCCUUCUCGACCACAUCCGCGUGGACGUCGAGAUGAAGGGGCCCCAAGACCUUCAGACGGCCAUGUACUAUGCUCGGGCGUUCGAGCAGUGCGCCCAGGCCUUAACGCGUCCAUCCGCGCCACGUGGGGGCCGACAGCUUCCCCGGCCGUCUCCGGCAGCACCGACGUCGUCCACAGUCGCCCCGGCACCCACCCCGGCACCGACGCGGCCAUUCAGGCGCCUCACUCAGGCAGAACAGCUGGAACGUCGGCGCCUGGGCUUGUGCUUCAACUGUGAUGCGCCCUAUGCACCGGGCCAUGUCUGUCCCCGCCUCUUCUACUUGGAGACGACAGACGAGACUGAGGAGGACACACUGGAGGAUGGCCUCGGCGCUCCAGCCCUUGCGGAGCCCGCAGCAGCACCCGCGCCCGCCCCGGCCACCGCCCUCGUGGUGUCCCUACACGCGCUGGCCGGCAUCCGUGAUGAACGGACGAUGCUCUUACCGGUCAUGAUCCAGGGCGAGCGCCUGGUGGCCCUAGUGGAUACAGGGUCCACGCAUAACUUCCUGCCGGAGACCACCAUGCGGCGCCUUGCAUUACAGCCAACCGGCGGUGAGCAGUUGCGAGUCACAGUCGCGAAUGGCGACCGUCUACGCUGCCAUGGGCUCGCCCGCGACGUGCCCAUCACUAUCGGCGACGAGCACUUAACCAUCACCUACGCCGACAUCGACUUGGGCUGCUUCGACUUCAUCCUCGGCGUCGACUUCUUGCGCACUCUUGGUCCUAUUCUAUGGGAUUUCGACGCGCUGACAAUGACCUUUUGGCGGUUGGGCCGCCGCAUUCGGUGGGACGGCAUUGGGGGUGCCGCCCCAACCACUCCACUCUAGCUGGCCAUGACCACCGCCACGGCCGAGCACCCACUAUUGGAGAGCCUCCUCCAGCAGCACGCGGACAUCUUCACCGAGCCACAGGGGCUGCCGCCCGCCCGCACGUACGAUCACCGUAUACAUCUUCUGCCAGGCCCCGCGUCGGUGGCGGUACGGCCUUACCGCUACCCACAGUUGUAGAAGGAUGAGUUGGAGCGGCAGUGUGCGCUCAUGCUCGCGGCAGGCAUCAUCCGGCUCUCCACUUCGCCAUUUACCGCGCCGGUGCUUCUCGUCCGGAAGUCAGACGACACAUGGCGUUUCUGCAUCGACUACCGUGCCCUUAAUGCUGUUACACUUAAGGACAAGUUCCCUAUUCCGGUGGUCGACGAGCUCCUCGAUGAGCUCCACGGGGCGCAACUCCCGUUUACCGGAGGAACACUUUGUGUGCUACCAAACAUCACAAUGUAACUGGGUGAUUAUAAAGGUGCUCUACAGGUGUCUCCGAAGGUACUUGUUGAGUUGGCGUAUUUCGAGAUUAGGAUUUGUCACUCCGAUUGUCGGAGAGGUAUCUCUGGGCCCUCUGCUUCUUCACCAAACUCGACCUCCGGUCGGGGUACCACUAGGUGCACAUGCACCCGGAUGACAUCGCCAAGACGGCGUUUCGCACUCAUCACGGCCACUUCGAGUUCUUUGUGAUGCCCUUUGGCCUCACCAACGCUCCGGCGACAUUCCAGGCUCUGAUGAACGACGUCCUCAGGCCCUACUUACAUCGGUUUGUGCUCGUUUUCUUUGAUGAUAUUCUAAUCUACAAUGCGUCUUGGGCCGAGCACCUCCAGCACGUCGCCAUCGUCUUCAACGAGCUUCGAGCGCACCACCUCCACCUUAAGCGCCCGAAGUGCUCGUUCGGGACGCCUUCGGUGGCCUACUUGGGCCACGUCAUCUCGGCCGACGGGGUGGCUAUGGAUGCCGACAAGGUGGCAGCUGUCUCUGCAUGGCCGACGCCUCACUCGCCGCGGGCUCUCCGCGGGUUCCUCGGCCUCGCCUGCUACUACCGGAAAUUUAUCCGGGAGUUCGGGCUCAUCGCGGCACCCCUCAAGCGGUUGCUUCGCCGCGACGCUUUCGCCUGGGACGACGAGGCGACGACGGCGUUCGAGGCCCUCAAGGGGGCCCUCACGACGGGCCCCGUCCUCACGAGGUUAACAAGGUCAUUGCCAUGUAUUUGCGUUGUGUGACAGGUGAUCGGCCUCGCGCUUGGAUGGACUGGCUCUCUUGGGCGGAGUACUGCUACAACACCUCUUAUCACUCCGCCCUGCGUGCUACGCCGUUUGAGGUGGUCUAUGGUCGACCACCCCCGCCUAUACUUCCGGUGGAUCCAGAGACAGCUCGGACGGAGGUUGCGGGUGACCUCAUCCGCACUCGUGACGAGAUGCUUGCUGAGGUUCAUCAGGGUCUCCUUCAGGCCCAGCAGCUGGCCAAGCACUACUACGAUGAUCAUCAUCGCGAGGCGGAGUUCGCGGUGGGUGAUUGAGUGUGGUUGCGUCUUCUCCACCGCUCUACGCAGUCACUCGACCCGCGCGCGAAGCACAAGCUCGGCCCUCGCUACGCCGGGCCCUUCCCUAUCUUGGAGCGCAUUGGGAAGGUGGCCUAUCGUCUUCAGCUUCCAGCCCGCGCUCGCAUCCACGACAUCUUCCAUGUGGGGCUGCUCAAGCCUUUCCGUGGCGAGCCACCGGCGGCUCCUCCGGCGCUUCCUCCCAUCGCCGAUGGUCGCAUUCUUCCAGAGCCGGCAAAGGUGUUGCAGGCGCAGCUCCGUCGUGGUGUCUGGUUCGUCCUCGUUCAGUGGGCAGGCCUUCCGGAGGAGGAGGCUACUUGGGAGCAGCGUGAAGAAUUCCGCCAACACUAUCCAGACUUUCAGCUCGAGGACGAGUUGUUUGCGCAGGCGCGGGGAGAGAUGUUAUGACCGGUUUGGUCUAUAACCGGAAGAGGCCCACCGGGCAUUAGUAUUAGGGGCUUGACCCAUAAGUUAUGUUAGGCAAGUUAUUUUAGGCAAGUUAUCUUAGGCUAAAGUUAUAAAUACUAGUUGUAAGACAUCGUUUGAGAUCAAGCAAUAAAGAUAUUAUCAUCUUCUGUUUCCCGGCUCCCUGAGGAGCCGGAACCCUAGCCGCCAUCAGCCAACCGUCGCCGCACCUAAACCCUAGCCGCGACGGCGCCCACUCGCCGGCGCGCCCGCUCCAGCCCUCGUCCACCUCCUCCUUGUCCCUAUAACCUGCGUAGCCGCACUGGUAGGAACCCUAGUCCUACCAGUAUCAUCUUUUCGUCUGAGAGUAAGGCUGGUGUUCUUCUGAUCUUGUCAUCUCUUUCCCCUGCUUUUUGUUUCAUUUGAGUUCUAUUGUCCUUGAUGAUAUGUUGGGGUAGCACCAAUUGAAGAGAAGCUUGUCCAACAUCGUCUGAGAUGGUUUGGGCAUAUUCAGCGCAGGCCUUCAGAAGCUCCAGUGCAUAGCGGACGGCUAAAGCGUGCGAGAAUGUUAAGAGAGAGCAUCCCCACAUCUGCGUCCAUUUCCUGCAACUAGGCAACCGCAUCGUCUUCUUUCCCGUGAUUCUAAUCUCUUUCUCUUGCAUCUCUUUUUCCUGCUACAGAUCAGGCGAGGGCGUUGGAAGCCGGCCGUCGCCGCUGCUCACACCAGGCAGCCGGCCGCCUGCCGGCCGCCCCGCCGCUCACAACUCUCCCGCCCUUGCAUCUAGAUUGGGAUCGCCGAGCAACCCACCGUUGUCAGCGACAUUCCUAAGAUCCGUGUGUUUCAUUUGAGUUCUAUUGUCCUUGGCCCCAUCCUUUUUACGCUGAUAAAUCACGUUGUCUUAAUCCAGUGUAUCCAUUUGGCAGCAUAUAUCCGUGUUUGACAACCCUGCAGAGAGAAUCCGUUGCAGUUACCAUCCUUCCUUUUUAACUUACUUUGCCAAUAAGUAAAGAAUUGCGGAAACAAUAACUUGCAUUGUUUGUUUAUUGCAGCAUUGAUCAACAAUGGCAAGAGUGCCAUCCUCAUCAUCAAUCUCACUCUGGUCAGAUGGGCACGCCUUGAAUUGUAUGCAUCGGACUCAAGGAUUCAGCAAGACGAUGGGCGCCCUCACCUGUGCCUAUUGAAAUUUGAGCAUAAUUCCUCAUAUGCUCAGCUCAUUUUGACUGGUGGCCUGCCAGACGAGGCUCGAGCCUCGCCUCUGUCAGUUUGAAGGAACACUGCGUAGCGACGACAAGAGCUUGAACAAAGAUGCUGGCGUGGGCGUGGUUGGCUGUCAGAGGAAAGUGCUUGACCAAAGAUAAUUUGGCUCGCCUCUAUGGCCGGGAUCAGCCAACUUGACCGGAUAUUCAAGCCCCCUUUGAUACAUUUAUCUAUCUACGCACUCCCUCCGUUCCAAAAUAGAUGACCCAACUUUGUACUAACUUUAGUAGUUAAGUACAAAGUUGGGUCAUCUAUUUUGGAACGGAGGGAGUAUUUUUUUAGCUAGCCGUUUAUACCGGUAUCCAGCACUGGGUUAUCUUUCUUUUUCAGGAAAAGCUUACCUUCAACCGACCGAUGGGGGGCGCACGUCCGCCAACUCCGUGUCCGUCGGAUCAAAUGUUGAUCACACGGUCAAGAGCAUCCCCACAUCUGCGUCCGUUUCCUGCAACUAGGCAACCGCAUCGUCUUCUUUCCCGCGAUUAUAAUCUCUUUCUCUUGCAUCUCUUUUUCCCGCUACAUAUCAGGCGAGGGCGUUGGAAGCCGGCCGUCGCCUUUGCUCAUACCAGGCAGCCGGCCGCCCCGCCGCUCACAACUCUCCCAUCCCUGCAUCUAGAUUGGGAUCGCCGAGCAACCCACCGCCGUCAACGAUAGUUCUUGAGAUCCGUGCGGUUCGGUCGUCGCUCCAGCGCCGCGUGGCGAGCGCACAACCUCUCCAUCGGCGUCAGCAGUGUCGGAGGAGCCCUCCCCACUGGCUCCGCCACAGCCCAUGCGUAGCGUGUUUACAAGCUUUGCAACGUUGCCAAUGUUUCUGAAACAAAGCUCUCAUUGCAAUAGUCAGUCAUGUUUCUAAAACAAAGGUCUUGUUGCAGAGCGGGAUCAUAUGCCAAGCUGCUUUGCAACGUCACCAAUGUUUCUAAAACAAAGCUCUUGUUGCAAUGGUCAGCGAUGUGUUUAUGAAACAAAUCUCUUGUUGCAAUAGCAGCAAUGUGUUUCUAAAACAAUGUUCUUUUGCAACAGUCACCGUUAUUUUCUGAAACAAUACUCUUGGUGCAAAGAGGCAUUGUACGCUGGACUAUGCUGGGCAACCUAGAUCGGACGGCUGGCGGGGCAGCGGAUCUUUUUCCGCCGACCGACGCAUAGCACGCCCCUUCUUUUUCUGAACAAAAAGUAUUAGCUGGCUGUUUAUACUGGUACCCAGCGCCAGGUUUUCCCCUUGUUUUGCCUUGUGAACCCUUGUCAUUGCUCUCUCUUCUUCAUGAAUGAAAUACAGCACUGUCCUGUUGUUUCAUCGAAAAUUUACAUGACCUCCGUGUCAGUUUAUCACGCAACUUAAGCGCAUAGUUUAUUUAUGUACAGAACAAGCUGAGGAAGGAGAUGAAGAAAAAGAAUGCAGGAUGCCUAGCUUGUGACUUGGGAGUGCAGGACUCUGGUGCAAUAUAUGUAUCAUCACAGGAGAAUCAACCAUUUGUGAGACUUUAGUGGCCUUUCUACCGCUGCAUAUGACUGUUCAAAAAGGAAAAAAGUGCAUCCACUAGACGCGCCAUCUGUUUCCUGUCCAAGCAACAACACGAUCACUCACUCGGGCAGCCUAUGAACAUGUGCCCAGCUAGUGAACAAGGUAAUCGGUUGUCAGUAUCAAAGAUCAUCGCUGCUUUAAACAUCUCAUAAUCAAAUCAAACGUUGAUAGCAUGGCUCUAUCUCGAGCCACCCAGGGGUUUCCGGAUCCCGAUGCGCCUCCGGUGCGCGCUUUCUGUCACCCCAAACGUACUUUCACGUCCCAGAGAAGUGAAGAGAAAACACCUCAAGAAAAGGCAGGCACUCCAGGGCAGUGAAAAAGAAAAGAAUAUCUUUAAAGUAUAAUAUGCGGUUAGCGGCGCCACAUUUGUCAUUAGAGCAAAUGAUCGCACUCACUGCUUUAAGCUGAUUGGCCGCGGCAUCCUGAUUGAUGAGCUUAUCCUGCCCAAAGAGAAUACACAAAUCAUCAAAGAGAAAGAAAGAAAAGGUGGUGAGCAAAGGAUGAAAAGUGGAUGCAUUAUGCAUACGAUGCGCUUUCCAAUUGCCACUGAUCCGGGCAGCAAGACGACUGGCUAGGACCCUCCUUCCAUCUUUUCUACUUGCAUGCAAAGUGAUACUGGUGUUGUAUGGCUAUAAAGCAAAGCAAGCCUGCUUCGUGCACUCUGAUGUAAGGAGAAGAAGAAAGAAAGAAUGAAAGGGCCAUGGUCGUCCAGAAAGCCGGAAUCCGGAUGCCCAGACCUAUCUCUUGUGUUUAUGUUUCUUGCUUCAUGAUUAAGCAUCCGGGCAGCGGCUAAGGCACCCGUGCAUCGAGGACGAUGCCGCGCCGUAAUUCCGAUGCUUUUUGGCAAUGGAGAAUCGAUGCCAAACAUGGAAAUCUGUGGGGAGGUUUUAUUCUUAUUCCAGCAAAUAAGAAAACAAAUAUAUGCUUCUCUCAAAUAUAUACUCCCUCCGUCCCAAAAUUCUUGUCUUAGAUUUGUCCAAAUACGGAUGUAUCAAGUCACGUUUUAGUAUUAGAUACAUCCGUAUCUAGACUAAUCUAAGACAAGAAUUUUGGGACAAAGGGAGUACAUCCUUGUUUAUUGGUUUUUUAUUAUAAGGCCUGAUGCUCUUGAAUUCUUAUCCUGUGGACUGGCUGAGCUUUAGUGGAUGUAAGAUGUGAAAAUGGCAACGCUUCCCAUUUUACUGCAAAAUGGUAUUCUUGCAAGAAAGAAAGAAGGAAAUAGAGUGCCGAGGCGGAAAAUACGGUGACGGGUUGAAAGCAUACACGUAGCGCGAAAAAGGCCAAAGUUCGAACCAAAACAAAGUAAAUAAAGGCAAGGGUAGGCGCCUCAGAUUUCCCAAAACCACCACGGCAUUAUUAAAGAACGGCCUCCACAAAGGCAAAGCCAAAGCCAGCGUUAGAAUACCCACAAGUACGCCGCAUUGCAGGGACACACACACGCACAGUCACCAGGAUGCAAAAGUAGUUCUCCAAGGCAAGAAGAAAGGCAAAGCUUGCUUUGCACCAGGCCGCUCCAGGACACACUACCACCAUCCCAAUCAGUAGAAGGGGGAGUGAGAGUGAGACAAGCCAAAUCAAAUGAAGGGCAACAAGAGCCAAGAACACCAUAGGUAGCCAUAUCAUAUAAACCAAACCAAAGGCCAGCAGGCAGCAGCAGUGCACAUAAGAACAGAGCAGGAGCAGGGGAAGGAGCAAGAAGAACCUGAGCAGGAGGAGCAGGAGCUGGACCGAGAUGGACGGCAUGUACUACCCUCAGCGUUUCAGCAACAUGAUGAUCGGCUACCUCAACCUGGCCACGCUCCUGGCCUCCAUCCCGGUCAUCGGGGCGGGGCUCUGGUUGGCCAAGGGCUCCACGACGACGUGCUCGUCCAUGCUGCAGACGCCGCUGCUCAUCAUCGGCUUCAUCGUGCUCCUCAUCUCCCUCGCCGGCUUCGUGGGCGCCUGCUUCCACGUCGCCUGGGCGCUGUGGCUCUACCUCUUCGCCGUGAUACUCCUCAUCGGCAUGCUGCUCGGGCUCACCAUGUUCGGGUUCGCCGUCACGGCGGGAGGCGGCGGCAUGCAGGUGCAGGGGAGGCCGUACAGGGAGUACCACAUCUCGGACUACUCCUCGUGGCUCCAGAAGCAUAUGCAGGACAUCAAGUACUGGAAGCCCGCGCUGGCCUGCGUCGUCGGGUCCAAGGCCUGCCCCAAGAUCGCCAACUGGACUCCCAUGGAUUACCUCCAGCAUGAUCUCACGCCAAUACAGGUUUGCAUUUCACCUACUGCUCAUUUUCUUCCAUAUUUGCUCCUCUUGCUAUUUGUCUCCACUGCUUUCAGCACUUGUAGUUGUAGUACAACAGAACUGAUAAUCUCAACUAUAGCCGCCCGGCACAAACAUAACAAAUUGUCAAAGAAAUGGAAACAUAAAAAAUAGCUAAACAAUGAAUUGAUCCAGUUCACCAGUUGCAUCUAUGUAAAUUUAAAUACCUCAAGCACAGGUUUAUGUUCAUUGUCUAUUUGGACAAAAACAUCAAAUUUAUUGGCCACCAAGAUUCAAAACCCAGUAAAGAGUGUGACCUCAGGACAAAUUUUGAACCCAUUUUCAGAUAAACUAAACAAACUAGGUCUAGUCAAUCUCUAGCUCAGAGCAUCUUCAGUGCUCCUGCACCUCUGCUACUUUAAUACAAGUUGUAGUUCUAACUAAUAGCUUUGCUUCUAAAAUUACUAAUGGAACUAUGCACUAUCAUGCAGUCUGGGUGCUGCAAGCCGCCAACAUCAUGCGCAUACAGUGGGGGGAUGCCGGUCGGAGCGCAGGAUGAGGACUGCUACCAGUGGAACAAUGCCCCAAACAUCCUAUGCUACCAGUGUAACUCGUGCAAGGCCGGCGUGAUGGAGCAGGUGCGCCAGGACUGGCACAAGAUCUCCGUGCUAAACGUCAUCGUGCUCGUCUUCCUCAUCUGCAUCUGCGCCUGCGGGUGCUGCGCCUUCAGAAACGCCCGCCGCUCUGUCUCCGAGUACCCAUACGGGGUAAACCGCAUGUCCAAGAUCAAUCCACGCUGGGACUACUACUGGUACUUUCAGCCAAAAAUAAAAACAAAAUAAAAUUGCCACUCCAUUUCUGUUUGAUUGCUGCUUUUCAUUGGCAUUUGUUUUCUUUUCAGAUGUUUGGUUUCAGCCCCAAAAAUGCAUUUCCAGUGUCAUGAUUAAAGCGAAAAAAUGGAUUAGUUUAUUUCUGAAUAAUUUCUGAAUAGUGCUUAUUCAACAGAAANNNNNNNNNNNNNNNNNNNNNNNNNNNNNNNNNNNNNNNNNNNNNNNNNNNNNNNNNNNNNNNNNNNNNNNNNNNNNNNNNNNNNNNNNNNNNNNNNNNNNNNNNNNNNNNNNNNNNNNNNNNNNNNNNNNNNNNNNNNNNNNNNNNNNNNNNNNNNNNNNNNNNNNNNNNNNNNNNNNNNNNNNNNNNNNNNNNNNNNNNNNNNNNNNNNNNNNNNNNNNNNNNNNNNNNNNNNNNNNNNNNNNNNNNNUAACGAAAUUCUUUGCACACAUAAAAAAGUAAUGAUGAUACUGGCAAUAUAACACAGUUUCUGUUUGUGGCCAUCUAUUUGCUCUGAUUUCUCUAACACUGCUUUAUGGUUUUUGCUACAGGUGGCGAUGGUUCCGCGAUAGGAGGGAACAGAUGUACUAGGCUAGCCAUCGGAACUCACCUCAUGUAUAAUAUUUUCUUGAUGGUCAAUGGCCGAGGGGUUGGGUCAGUUCUUCAUAGCACUCUGGUAGUGACCAAUAAUUAAUCUUCUGUAGAUAUUCAGUAUGAGGAAAGUACAAGAUGGUGAAGUGGAAGGCAUGUGUAGUUUAUCCAGUAUUGGUAGAAUGCUUUGCAUUUUGAAGCAUAUUUAGUUAGAGAAUUCAGAAGAGAAGAGAUUUCUUGUCUAUGGUGGGAAAUCCAGUCUAUAUAUAUAUGACCAUAUCAGCACAUGUACUGUUGGUGUGACUUCUAUUUGCCAUGUUUUGGUCAUGCCUACCUUCUGAUAUGAUAUCAGUAGACCCAUAGACUACAGCUAAAUCUAAGACAGGCUCUCCAUCUUUAGCACUCAUGGCAUGGACCGUCGUAUUUUGAAGUGAGUUGAAAGCACUUUAGAUAGUGGAUACAGCUCAGCAACCAUUCAGAAAGAACUAAGUUCUAACUCAAGGAAAAUAUAUAUUAAUGGGAUGCCAAACAAAUGAGAAAAAAUCAAAUAAUUUUAUCACAAAAAAGUGCAGUGAUCAUCUACAGUUUGUAUUGGUUACAAGAGCAUAUAUCCCCAUUAACCUUUCUCCACUAUGGUAGCCAAAGUGCUUUACAUUUCUUUUAGUACAUAUCUAGUUGGUGAGUUCGAAAGAAAAGUGAUGUCAUGUCUAUCGAGUAAAACCCACAGAGUCAGCUAUAUGACUACAUCAGCACAUGUACUGUUGGUCUGACUUCUAUAGUUGUCAUGUUUUGGCCUGUCUACCUUCUGAUAUGAUUAUCCCUAAACUGAGGCUAAACCUAAGACAGGCUCUCCAACUUCAGCACCCAUGGACCAUGGUAUUUUUUUUUAUGUGGUUGUCUGGUAAGGAAAGGCUUUACAGCUCAGCAAUAUUUCAGAAGGCGCUUCUAAUUCAAGGCAGAAUAAUGUAACGAUAAGACAAACUCCUGAUAAGAACGAAAUAACUGUAUCACAAGCAAUGUGCAGUGACCAUGUGUGAUUAGCAUUGGUUAGAAUAGAAUAUAUUCUCAUCGACCCUUUUCACAUAAAACUUGAUGCCGGAUAGACGGUGCAGCAACUUCGCCGAUAAGAAUAAUACUAGACGGAAUCUCAAAAGGUGCCAAGUGAUUACUGGAUUGCAGGUGUACUAAGUUUUGGGACAAUCUGUCUCUAGGAAGCAAAGUAUCUAGUGUCCCGUGUCAGCUAUGACUGUCUAACAAGAUGCUGAUUCAAUGCAAAUUCUGGAACACAACACAAGCAAAGAGACAGUCUGAUCUUGAACUCACCUCCUUGCAACCCAGGUAGCCUCCAAGUGGGGAAUGAUUCCGAGAAGAGCCCAGGGGAGACUCAGCACUAACCAAACUCUUAAUCUCAACCCGCAAUGAAGCCAUUCGGUGAUUUUAGUUGAGUAUCAUCAAAUUCCACUAGAACAGGUCAUCUGAGUGCCCCCCCUGUUGAAGAUUCAUGGACUCUCAUUAUAUGGGGAUUAUAACAGCAGCAGUUGUUCCUGCAAGGAGCAUUCUUCCAGUAGGGGAGGUACCCUGCAACAACAGGGAUCGCUCAUCCACUGCAAGUUGCAUGUUUGAAAGCGCAAUUGCCAGGCAACUAAAUCUGCAGGAAUGGGGUCAGAGUGCCCAGGACAGGGAAACAGGCCACCUGGAAUAGCAGGGAUGGAGACUGACAAAAAAACAUGGAAGCAUAGGAAGGCUGGAAGCUAUGGAAGAACAAUCUGCAUCUAAUUCAUAGAUGCUUCUCUAGAACUGUGACAUUUAUGCAAUAUUCUGCAACACAACAUAAACUGCUCUUCCAGGACAUCAGAACUGAGGGGGUUGAAUGCAAAGGGAGGUAAGGAAGAUGAGCAGUAGAUCAACAACAAACAUUAGUAGUUCCAAUACCGAUUCCAAACGAACUUCGGUGCCACAAAUGUGACAGAAGGUUGCACACAUUUGUCAUUUCUGAUUACCAGCACACAACUACGAUCAUUUGGUUUAUUCUACAUGCAUCAUAGAGCAGAUGUUUCAUUACAAUGAAGACAAAUUUGGGAACACCGUAUUAAAACAAAAUCAGCAAUUUUGGGAUUGCUGUUGAAGGAAAGGGGUACAGCCAGAGUUCCACACAGAAGGGUUGAGACAUUGUUGACAAUUGUUGCACAGAACAUAUUCAGGCUAUCUGAAAAGGAAAGAAAAAAUAGCGACGAAACGGAGCAGCAGAAACAAGUUAGACGCCUUGCCAUUUUCCAGAGGAGCUCCUUAA